Non-coding RNA from Acanthosepion pharaonis, 114 nucleotides. The record is from the annotation of a GenBank genome assembly. NCBI's taxonomy places the organism in Eukaryota, Metazoa, Mollusca, Cephalopoda, Sepiida, Sepiidae.
UUAUGACCAUAUCACAUUGAAAUACCAGUUCUCAUUCAAUCACUGAAGUUAAGCAAAGUCAAAACAGGUCAGUACCUAGAUAGGUGACCACUUGGCAAUACCAGGUGCUGUAAG